Molecule: non-coding RNA, 31 nt
Filed under: Homo sapiens (human)
Lineage: Eukaryota; Metazoa; Chordata; Mammalia; Primates; Hominidae
Source: RNAcentral
UACACGUGCACUCAGCACAUCCCCUGAAAAC